UGCACUUCUGGCUAAGCAAUGGUGACUAUUAGUUUGUAAUCCUGCCUCAUUGGUGGCACGAGUACUAAAAGCAAAAUAUGGCAGUGGCGAUUUUUUAAGAGAGGAGUCAGUCAACCUUCGGCAAUCUAGAGAAGCAUUUGGGCAACAAAGGGGCUUCUGUUGUUGGGGAGUAGCUAACAAGUCGAUGAUGGAAAGUCAAUACUUG
Molecule: long non-coding RNA, 205 nt
Filed under: Gossypium barbadense (sea-island cotton)
Lineage: Eukaryota; Viridiplantae; Streptophyta; Magnoliopsida; Malvales; Malvaceae
Description: long non-coding RNA (GBAR_LNC017868)
Source: RNAcentral